This 506-nucleotide ribosomal RNA is filed under the name uncultured bacterium. RNAcentral describes it as "partial 16S ribosomal RNA". It matches the Rfam family "Bacterial small subunit ribosomal RNA", at positions 29 to 523 of the family's 1533-position model. The record is from RNAcentral.
AGUGAACGCUGGCGGUAGGCCUAACACAUGCAAGUCGAACGGCAGCACAGAGGAGCUUGCUCCUUGGGUGGCGAGUGGCAGACGGGUGAGGAAUACAUCGGAAUCUACUCUGUCGUGGGGGAUAACGUAGGGAAACUUACGCUAAUACCGCAUACGACCUACGGGUGAAAGCAGGGGACCUUCGGGCCUUGCGCGAUUGAAUGAGCCGAUGUCGGAUUAGCUAGUUGGCGGGUUAAAGGCCCACCAAAGCGACGAUCCGUAGCUGGUCUGAGAGGAUGAUCAGCCACACUGGAACUGAGACACGGUCCAGACUCCUACGGGAGGCAGCAGUGGGGAAUAUUGGACAAUGGGCGCAAGCCUGAUCCAGCCAUACCGCGUGGGUGAAGAAGGCCUUCGGGUUGUAAAGCCCUUUUGUUGGGAAAGAAAUCCAGCUGGCUAAUACCCGGUUGGGAUGACGGUACCCAAAGAAUAAGCACCGGCUAACUUCGUGCCAGCCGCCGCAGUAA